GACCUGACCGGAUGUGCGUUUAUGACA
This 27-nucleotide non-coding RNA is filed under the name Mus musculus (house mouse). The record is from RNAcentral. Lineage: Eukaryota; Metazoa; Chordata; Mammalia; Rodentia; Muridae.